UAACACCGGCAGCUCUAGUGGUAGCUGUUUUUAUUGGGCCUAAAGCGUUCGUAGCCGGUUUGAUAAGUCUUUGGUGAAAUCCUGUAGCUUAACUAUGGGAAUUGCUGAGGAUACUGUCAGGCUUGAGGUCGGGAGAGGUUAGCGGUACUCCCAGGGUAGGGGUGAAAUCCUGUAAUCCUGGGAGGACCACCUGUGGCGAAGGCGGCUAACUGGAACGAACCUGACGGUGAGGGACGAAAGCUAGGGGCGCGAACCGG
Molecule: ribosomal RNA, 257 nt
Filed under: uncultured bacterium
Lineage: Bacteria
Description: partial 16S ribosomal RNA
Rfam family: Archaeal small subunit ribosomal RNA
Source: RNAcentral